CAUUCUCUCUCUCUCUCUCUCUCUCUCUCUCUGUGUGUGUGUGUGUGUGUGAGAGAGAGAGAGAGAGAGAGAGAGAGAGAG
Podarcis lilfordi (Lilford's wall lizard) is the source of this 81-nucleotide non-coding RNA. Lineage: Eukaryota; Metazoa; Chordata; Lepidosauria; Squamata; Lacertidae. The record is from the annotation of a GenBank genome assembly.